AGAGUUUGAUCCUGGCUCAGAACGAACGCUGGCGGCGUGGAUAAGACAUGCAAGUCGAGCGGGAUUUCUUUUGGUAGCAAUACCGAGAGAAAUUCAGCGGCGAACGGGUGCGUAACACGUGGGCAAUCUGUCUUAAAGUGGGGGGUAGCUCGGCGAAAGCCGAAUUAAUACCGCAUGUGAUCAGAGGCGACAUCGCUUCGAAAUCAAGGGUGGCGCAAGCUACCGCUUUUUGAGGGGCCCGCGGCCUAUCAGCUUGUUGGUGAGGUAACGGCUCACCAAGGCGAUGACGGGUAGCUGGUCUGAGAGGACGACCAGUCACACUGGGACUGAGACACGGCCCAGACACCUACGGGUGGCAGCAGUCGAGAAUUUUUGACAAUGGGGGAAACCCUGAUCGAGCGACGCCGCGUGGAGGAUGAAGGUCUUCGGGUUGUAAACUCCUGUCAUUUGGGAACAAGGCGCACGUAUUAACUGUGCGUGCGUUGAUAGUACCAGAAGAGGAAGGGACGGCUAACUCUGUGCCAGCAGCCGCGGUAAUACAGAGGUCCCAAGCGUUGUUCAGAUUCAUUGGGCGUAAAGGGUGUGUAGGUGGCGCGCUAAGUCGGGUGUGAAAUUUCGGAGCUUAACUCCGAAACUGCAUUCGAUACUGGCGUGCUUGAGGACUGGAGAGGAGACUGGAAUUUACGGUGUAGCAGUGAAAUGCGUAGAUAUCGUAAGGAAGACCAGUGGCGAAGGCGGGUCUCUGGACAGUUCCUGACGCUGAGACACGAAGGCCAGGGGAGCAAACGGGAUUAGAUACCCNNGUAGUCC
Molecule: ribosomal RNA, 810 nt
Filed under: uncultured bacterium
Lineage: Bacteria
Description: bacterial SSU rRNA
Rfam family: Bacterial small subunit ribosomal RNA
Source: RNAcentral